AAGGGAUUUUUACCUAUACAUCCCAUAUACCAAACCUUUCUACCACUCAUGUUUAAGGUUAGUAUUUAUUACAUUUUAGUAUACCAUAUUUCAAUAUAUAUACCAUUUUAAGUAUUAAUUACCAAUCAUUAAUUAGAGGAUUUAUUUGUGGAAAAAAUUAAUAUUGCCAUAUUCUCUUUCCCCAUUAACCACACGUUUUUUAUUUUAAUUUUUAUACUUUUCCAUAAAAAAUACACCCCCCCCCCCCC
RNAcentral lists this long non-coding RNA (248 nucleotides) under Nicotiana benthamiana. Its description in RNAcentral is "long non-coding RNA (NBEN_LNC023992)". The record is from RNAcentral. Lineage: Eukaryota; Viridiplantae; Streptophyta; Magnoliopsida; Solanales; Solanaceae.